This 260-nucleotide unclassified non-coding RNA is filed under the name Hevea brasiliensis (rubber tree). Lineage: Eukaryota; Viridiplantae; Streptophyta; Magnoliopsida; Malpighiales; Euphorbiaceae. The record is from RNAcentral.
UAACAUUCCAAGUUGUGAAAAUGAAUAUGGAAGUGUAAGUAACACUUGAGCAACCUGGUUAGAAGAACAACUAAACCAUGCAUCAUAAACAGAUCCACCAUGCCAAAAAAAAUUGGAUAAUUUGUUUCUCACAGAAUUAUUUGAAUUUGUUUCUUCUCCUUCUCUUUCCAUUUCCAAAUAAUUACCAGCAAUAACUGUCUCAACUUUCUCAGAAGCCAUAAUCACUAAUUAAUUAAUUAACUCUAAAAUGAGAGUUUUUG